RNAcentral lists this ribosomal RNA (258 nucleotides) under Burkholderia sp. ISO717_OTU58. Its description in RNAcentral is "partial 16S ribosomal RNA". It matches the Rfam family "Bacterial small subunit ribosomal RNA", at positions 30 to 289 of the family's 1533-position model. Lineage: Bacteria; Pseudomonadati; Pseudomonadota; Betaproteobacteria; Burkholderiales; Burkholderiaceae. The record is from RNAcentral.
UUGAACGCUGGCGGCAUGCCUUACACAUGCAAGUCGAACGGCAGCACGGGGGCAACCCUGGUGGCGAGUGGCGAACGGGUGAGUAAUACAUCGGAACGUGUCCUGUAGUGGGGGAUAGCCCGGCGAAAGCCGGAUUAAUACCGCAUACGAUCUACGGAAGAAAGCGGGGGAUCGCAAGACCUCGCGCUAUAGGGGCGGCCGAUGGCAGAUUAGCUAGUUGGUGGGGUAAAGGCCUACCGAGGCGACGAUCUGUAGCUG